AGCACUUGGAAGUCUUUGUGUUAAGCCGGUAGAAAAAGCGGUAGAGUCAGUUGCAAAAAUCAACGCUCUUUUGCAACCCAGAGCUCAUUGUUAAGUGUGGGUUCUGAUCCACCUAAGAAGGGCCACG
Molecule: small nucleolar RNA, 127 nt
Organism: Myodes glareolus (Bank vole)
Lineage: Eukaryota; Metazoa; Chordata; Mammalia; Rodentia; Cricetidae
Product: small nucleolar RNA SNORA40
Source: RefSeq, a predicted model, not a curated record